GGGUGGAUGUCCGAGUGGUUAAAGGAGACAGGCUGUAAACUUGUUAGCGAAAGCUUACGCUGGUUCGAAUCCAGCUCCACCCA
This 83-nucleotide transfer RNA is filed under the name bacterium. Its description in RNAcentral is "tRNA-Tyr". It matches the Rfam family "tRNA". From Rfam's summary of the family: Transfer RNA (tRNA) molecules are approximately 80 nucleotides in length. Their secondary structure includes four short double-helical elements and three loops (D, anti-codon, and T loops). The record is from RNAcentral. RNAcentral also lists the same sequence under 6 other names.